Molecule: long non-coding RNA, 4624 nt
Filed under: Brassica napus (rape)
Lineage: Eukaryota; Viridiplantae; Streptophyta; Magnoliopsida; Brassicales; Brassicaceae
Description: long non-coding RNA (BNAP_LNC025645)
Source: RNAcentral
CAAAUGUUUAGAAGGUUUUGAGGGGAAUCCUUACCUUUCAAAUGAAAAGGGUUGCCAAGGUACACUUCACGUUAAUUUAUUUUUUCUUUCUAUCGUCUUUCAACGGUUUAGUCGUACAUUUCUUGUUUCAUCCAACGGAUUAUUUACCUGUGUCAGACAUCAAUGAAUGUAUUAGUACUAUCCAUAAACAUAACUGCUCGGAUCCCAGCACCUGUAGAAACAAGGAUGGAGGCUUCUAUUGUAAAUGCAGAUCUGGUUACCGCUUAGAUACAAACACUAUGAGUUGCAAGCGUAAAGACUUUGGAUGGGCUGCAAUUCUUCUUGGUAAGCUUCCCUCUGGACUUUGGAUGACCGGUCAUGUCCCCUCACUUGUCCAGGAUUGGUUCUUUAUUGAAAAAAAAAAAAAAACUUAAUCUAAUCAUCUAUGUGGAUGUGGUCAGGAACAACCAUCGGCUUCUUGUCCAUCAUGCCUGCCGUUAGCUGUGUACGACAGAAAAUGAAGCACCGGAAAGACAGUCAGCUCCGACAAAAAUUCUUCGUACAAAAUGGUGGCGGCUUGUUAGUACAGAGACUCUCAGGAGAAGAGACAUGAAAUUCUAAUAUAAAAAUAUUCACUGAAGAAGGCAUGAAGACUGUGUUGGGAAAAUUAUCGGAUAAUAAUUUCUUUGAGAGGUUGAGAUGGAAUGUAGACGGUUAGUGUUUAAGAUAACCUUCUUAUUUUUGGGAAAGAGAUUUUCACUAAGGCUUGUGUUUGGAGAUUUCUUAAAGAUUCUUAGAACUCUUUAUGAAAUAUUUUAUCUCUAUUGCUUUGCUUGAUUCUUGGAUGAUUACAAAUGGUGCUAAGCACUCCUAUUUAUACAAGUGAAGGAGUACACUCUAACAUGUUCUAGAUUUCUCUAAAUUAUUAUUUUAUUUCAAAAUAUCUAACUCCAUAACUUUCUCUCUUCUUCUACGCAAUUCUUCUUCUAUACUUCUCCACUUUUCUCUAGAUGUUUCUUCUUCUUGGACUAAGGCUUGAUUAUGAUUUGAUUAGUUUUGGGCUUAAGGAGGGAAAUAUCGGAAAAUCUUGUAUUGUUUCCCGCACACGCAUCGAUCGAUGCGUUUUUGAACAAAUACGGAUCGAUCGAUGCGUUUAAAAAAAGGCUCCCGAGAUUUUGUUCGAUCCAUCGAUGGGAUAAUCUAAUCGAUCGAUCACAUUGUUACGCUUUGGUCCAUCUUAGUGAUCAGUCGAUGCGUUUUCGAACAUAUAUUCAUCGAUCGAUCCGUUUAUAAAAAAACUUACAAGAUUUUCCGAGGACAUUCCGAGGAACGCUUGAGAUUCUCGAUCGAUCGAUGGGAUAAUCUAAUCGAUCGAUCACAUUGUUACGCUUUGGUCCAUCUUAGUGAUCGAUCGAUGCGUUUUUGGAUAUAUAUACAUCGAUCGAUCCGUUUAUAAAAAAAACGUACAAGAUUUUCCGAGAACAUUCCGAGGAACGCUUGAGAUUCUCGAUCGAUCGAUGGGAUAAUCUAAUCGAUCGAUCACAUUGUUACGCUUUGGUCCAUCUUAGUGAUCGAUCGAUGCGUUUUUGGAUAUAUAUACAUCGAUCGAUCCGUUUAUAAAAAAAAGUACGAGAUUUUCCGAGGACAUUCCGAGGAACGCUUGAGAUUCUCGAUCGAUCGAUGGGAUAAUCUAAUCGAUCGAUCACAUUGUUACGCUUUGGUCCAUCUUAGUGAUCGAUCGAUGCGUUUUUGGUAAACAUAUAAUUUCCCUAAUAUUUUUCUAUAAACUGAUGAAGUAGAAUAAUAGAGUUAUUUAACUUCGAACUAAUUACUCAUAGUAGGGAAAAGUCAAGGCCUGGUUAAGACAAGCAAAAACUAGUUAAGACAAGCCCGGCCUGGUUAAGACAAACAAAGACUAGUUUUCUCUUAUUCUCUCACACUCUGUAAACAGUUCCUCUUCUAAUCAAUAAAACUCCUUCGAAACAUCCUACCUUCGAGUUUUGUCACUCAUGGUUGUGAUUUUAUGUCACUGAAAUACCAUUAUGGUUACAAAACAACUCGAGCAAGAAAGAAAGAAAGAAAGGAUUAAAAUCACGAUAAAAGGGUGAUUUGGGGUCGAGAGCGGAAGGUAAGCUCCGGCCAUUGUCACGGGCCACGGCCGUAUAAACAAAUUUUUCAAAAUAGGAGAAAGGUUUGCAAUAUUUUUAUAUUAAACAGUUGGGUAAACGGAUGUAGCAUUUCCUUUCUUAUUAAGCUCAAACAUUUAGGGAUCAUCAUCUCAUAAGUGGAGUCAAACAGUAGAGCGUUCACUUCAUCAUUUUGAAGAAAAGUCGAACAGUUGAGCCUUCACUUCAUCAUUUUGAUCUCCCCUGUUUCUUUCGUUGUCCGGCCCGUCCACUGGUAUGUCACAGUCACACAGUACUUCACUUUAUCAUCCUGGUCCUCCCUCGCCUUUUAACGUCGGCCCCUCCAAUUAUCUGUCUCGACCAUCUACUCUAAAGAUAAAUCAUGCACGACUCAUGUGGAAUAAAGAUAAGGUCGUCUUGACUCAUAACGUCAAUUAUGUAACUCCAGUCUACUAGAGUUAGAAUUUAAGAAUUAUGAUACCAUGUUAAAUGUUAUGGUAUGAACACUAUUUUUAUAAUUAUCAUAAAGUUAAAAGCUCUCUAAUUAUCAUAAUGAGGAAAAAGGCAACUAGCAAAGUAACACUAGAACUUUCAACAGAAAACAACGUAUUAUAAUAGUAUAAGAGCAAUCCCAUUGCUAGUUGUUACCAAAGUAUCUAUUAAUAAUAAAACUAGGAAAAGAAUAGGAAGAGAAAGAAAUUAAUUUUUAUUGGGGCAACUUGAAAAAUACUUUAGAAUAUGUGUCAACUUGUGAUUAGUUUAAUUUUCUUGAUAAAAAAAAAAGAAAAAUUGGAAGAGAAGGAAAUUAUUUUUUAUUGGGGCAACUUGAAAGAUACUUUAGAAUAUGUGUCAACAUGUGAUUAGUUUAAUUUUUUAUAUAUAAAUUAAAACUUAACUAGUAAUACAAUUAGAUAAAACUAUUAGUAUUUUUGUCCAAGUACGUAGAUAAUAAUAGAACUAGGGAAAAAGUGAAGAAAAAAUAGGAAGAAAAAGAAAUGAAGUUUUAUUUGAGAAACCAAAAAAAAAGAGAAAAUAGAAAUACUUUUACAAUAUGUAUCAACCUAUGAUUAGUUAUUUAAAUCAUUGAAACUUUAACUAAUAAUAGAGUUAUAUUAAACUAUUAGUAUUUUUGCCUAUGAGAUAUUUUGGUAGGUCUCUUAGCAGUGGACGUGCAAUAAUAGAGAACGUCUUGUGAUCAAGAGCCAUCAUACAUAUGAAUAUUCCUGGUAAUCACCAACGUCUUGGUCUUUGUGUCCUACAAAACUAAAUGACAAAAACAAAGACGUUGUGAUGCUAAAUGAGUUGGUACAUUGACUUAGUCUAUAGUUAAAUUAUACUAGCAUAGAGGUUGGGCAGUCAAGAGAACAUCUCAACACUAGCUAGAGUUUGGAGGAAGAUAAACAAAUUUAGAGAGAGGUCGAAGAUGAAGGUGCAGCAUCUGAUCUUGGUGGCUACUUUCUUCUACCUUGCAUAUACGGAGCUGGUCAAUGGGCAACCUCGCAAGGACUGCCAAACUAGUUGUGGCAACGUCACAAUUGAGUACCCUUUUGGCACUUCUCCAGGUUGUUACUAUGCCGACGAUCCUAGUUUCAAUAUCACCUGUAACGAGAGAGAAGAGUUGAUCUUUGGUGGUAACAAAGUAAUCAACAUUUCUCACACGGAGCUACGCGUCUGGAAUGAUAUUUCUUACGCUUGCUACGAUAGCGGAGGAAAUGUGACUGAUGGGGUUUCCUACAGUUACUCGCUUGCUAACUUAUCUCUCUCCCGCAACAACAAGUUUACUUUAGUUGGCUAUAACGCUUUUGCACUUCUGAGCACUACUGGAGCGCGAGAUUACUCAACUGGAUGCUUGUCAGCAUGUGACUCUCCACCGGCGGGAAAUGGGGACUGUAAUGGUGAAGGUUGCUGCAGGACCGAUGUCUAUGUCCCUUUGGAUAGCAUUGGAUUCGAAACUCGCCCAUCUGGCUUUGGGAACAUGACUGUUAUGCAUGACUUUAAUCCUUGCAAAUACGCCUUUCUAGCCGAAAAUGGUACUUUUCACUUUAAUGCUUCGGAAGAUCUUAAGAACCUAAGAAAUGUCAAAGAGUUCCCUGUGUUACUGGAUUGGUCUAUUGGAAACCAGAGAUGCGAUCAAGUUGGAAACAGAAGCAUAUGCGGUAUGAAUAACAGCAUAUGUGUCAAUUCUACUCGUGGAACCGGGUAUAACUGCAAAUGUUUAGAAGGUUUUGAGGGGAAUCCUUACCUUUCAAAUGAAAAGGGUUGCCAAGGUACACUUCACGUUAAUUUAUUUUUUCUUUCUAUCGUCUUUCAACGGUUUAGUCGUACAUUUCUUGUUUCAUCCAACGGAUUAUUUACCUGUGUCAGACAUCAAUGAAUGUAUUAGUACUAUCCAUAAACAUAACUGCUCGGAUCCCAGCACCUGUAGAAACAAGGAUGGAGGCUUCUAUUGUAAAUGCAGAUCUGGUUACCGCUUAGAUACAAACACUAUGAGUUGCAAGCGUAAAGACUUUGGAUGGGCU